CAUCCCAACUCCUAUGAGAUUUAUUUAAUUUCCUGGUCAUUAUACACCACUUUAUGUAUCCAAAUCAAGCUUCUUACAAAUUGAUUCAUCCUGGUUUGAUUGUAACGACGAAGAAGCUGUCCUAUUCCCAAACUGGAAAACUGGAAUCACCUGAUUUGAAAGUGGGAUAACUUAUUCAUCCCAACUCCUAUGAGAUUUAUUCAACUUGCUGGUGAUUCUCCACCACUUUAUGUAUCCAAAUCAAGCUUCCUACAAAGUGACUCAUCCUGCUUUGAUUGGAACGACGAAGAAGAUGUCCUAUUCCCAAACUGGAAAACUCUUCUUUCAAAGUGAUUCAUCCUGCUUUGAUUGGAAUGACAAAGAAGCUAUCCUAUUCCCAAACUGGGAAACUGGAAUCACCUGAUUUGAAAGUGAGAUAACUUCUUCAUCCCAACUCCUAUGAGAUUUAUUCAACUUCCUGGUCAUUCUCCACCAUUUUAUGUAUCCAAAUCAAGCUUCUUCCAAAGUGAUUCAUCCCGCUUUGAUUGGAACAACGAAGAAGUUGUCCUAUUCCCAAACUGGGAAACUGGAAUCAUCUGAUUUGAAAGUGGAAUAACUUCUUCAUCCCAAAUCCUAUGAGAUUUAUUCAACUUCUUGGUCAUUCUCCACCACUUUAUGUCUCCAAAUCAAGCUUCUUACAUAGUGAUUCAUCCUGCUUUGAUUGGAACGACGAAGAAGCUAUCCUAUUCCAAAACUGGGAAACUAAAAUCACCUGAUUUGAAAGUGGGAUAGCUUCUUCAUCCCAACUCCUAUGAGAUUUAUUCAACUUCCUGGUCAUUCUCCACCACUUAAUGUAUCCAAAUCAAGCUUCUUACAAAGUGAUUCAUCCUGGUUUGAUUGGAAAGACGAAGAAGCUGUCCUAUUCCCAAACUGGGAAACUGGAAUCACCUGAUUUGAAAGUGGGAUAACUUCUUCAUCCCAACUCCUAUGAGAUUUAUUCAACUUGCUGGUGAUUCUCCAACACUUAUAUAUCCAAAUCAA
RNAcentral lists this long non-coding RNA (1020 nucleotides) under Brassica napus (rape). Its description in RNAcentral is "long non-coding RNA (BNAP_LNC019634)". The record is from RNAcentral. Lineage: Eukaryota; Viridiplantae; Streptophyta; Magnoliopsida; Brassicales; Brassicaceae.